UACGGAGGGAGCUAGCGUUGUUCGGAAUUACUGGGCGUAAAGCGCGCGUAGGCGGCUAUUCAAGUCAGAGGUGAAAGCCCGGGGCUCAACCCCGGAACUGCCUUUGAAACUAGAUAGCUAGAAUCUUGGAGAGGCGAGUGGAAUUCCGAGUGUAGAGGUGAAAUUCGUAGAUAUUCGGAAGAACACCAGUGGCGAAGGCGACUCGCUGGACAAGUAUUGACGCUGAGGUGCGAAAGCGUGGGGAGCAAACAGG
RNAcentral lists this ribosomal RNA (253 nucleotides) under uncultured bacterium. Its description in RNAcentral is "partial 16S ribosomal RNA". It matches the Rfam family "Bacterial small subunit ribosomal RNA", at positions 524 to 776 of the family's 1533-position model. The record is from RNAcentral.